RNAcentral lists this long non-coding RNA (6090 nucleotides) under Sus scrofa (pig). RNAcentral's name for it is "lncRNA (ENSSSCG00060070424.1)". The record is from RNAcentral. Lineage: Eukaryota; Metazoa; Chordata; Mammalia; Artiodactyla; Suidae.
UGUUCUUUUGGAGUGAUCCUUUAAGCCAGACUAUUUCCCUAGUGAUGUUGUUUAAGGCAGCAAUAGGCUAAGUGAGGCGUGAUGGAUGGCCCCCAGCCUGGACCAGUGGCGACACAGGCCCAUUUGGUCCUGGCCAGGAAAACAGAAAGGUCAUUCAUUACCCAGUGUGAACAAACAGAGUGCACAUUUGUGAUAAAUAACAGUCAUUAUUGAACUACAAUGCUCUCUGGGAAUUCCUCAACACUUCCUUGACAUUAAUGUACUUUUCAUGGAGGGCUCAGCGAGGCUCUCUCUGUAAUAUUUAGUGCUUCAUGUUUUAUGUGGGAUACCACAGAGACACUGGCCUCUCCUUUGCCGGGAUGCAUGUGCCUGAACAAACACCAAAUAUCUUCUUUUCUCAUAUUGAUGCCAAGUCCGAUCCUCCUCAAUCAGAUGGACACACACACACAUGCACACACAUACUCCAUGUGCUAAGCAUGUAUAUCUAUCAAUGCAAGCAGAUAAUAACAAAAUGUAAUCCCCAAAAAUAUUGGAGAAAUGGUCCUUUCUGAGCUCUGACCUCUUCUGAGUAGGUGCUCAGUCACACAGGUAACAAUAUUACACCCAAGGCCAAUUUUUAAAAAGCAAUAUAAAAGAUAUUGUACCAAACAAAGAGAUCCCUCAGGGAAAUGAAAACUGCAGCUUCCACAUAAUCUUUGCCACUGUGCCUUCACACACGCUGCCGUCACUGCAGGCAAGACUUGUCACUCUCUCCCCCAGCAGUCGUCACCAGGCCAAUUCCCACUGGCGCGAGUCCAACACCAUCCUAUUUGAAGCCUUUCCAACACAUCCCACCCUAACCAUGUGCAUUUAGUCUCCCCCUCCUCUGGGUUUACACAGUGGCUCCUUGAGAGGCUAGAUACAGCACCUGUCGGGGUGCAUGGCAAUUGUCAGUUACAGGUCCACAAUGCAACCUGCUCGCUAUUUGGUGUGAAUCACGCACCAGGCACUGUGCAAAUGAAGAGGUCAGGCGCUGUAGAGAACAGACCUCAUCUACCUUGUUUCAGUCUAGUUGAAUUCUCCCCAUGGAGCAGCGAGGACUUAGGACCUCUUCAUUUGUGUAUUCCCAGAUGCUACCGACUACACCUGGUACAUCACAGUUGCAUAACACAUGCUGCUGUAAGAAAGGAUGAAGAGCUGUAUGGACAGAUAUUAAACAUCUUCCCUACUGUGUCACCCAGCUUUGAUUACUGCUUAUGAGAAAGUGACUUACCACUUGGAAACCCUAGGCUUUUAAACAUUUAAGAUGUGAAAGACAAUUGUUUUAUUUCAUAGGAUGCUUAGAAUAUAAAAUCCAUGAAUGUGUGUGAUACUCAGAGAAGAAAGGGCAUGUGGAAGAGAAAAAUCACAGACUCAUCAUGAAAAUGUAGCAGGGACUCCGUAUUAGUAGCAAAACAAAAACUAGUUAUUUUAUACUGAACAUAAGCCAAUUAUGCAUAAUUGACCUGACCUAAGGAUCCUGAGCUGAUUUAGGAAAUGACUGAAGGAAAAAUAUAUUUUGAUGGUAAGAAUGGUAUCUAAUAUUUCAAGAUAAAUAACACAAGACUAAAUAUCUCUUUUCAAGUGAUAUUGUAUUAUAUCAUACAUACGCAUACAUAUGAGGUAACGCACUAUCUUAUCGUCUCUUAAUAAAGAUAUUUUAAAAGUACUAUAUAAUGGGAAUGGCAUGUGCUCUAUUCUUAAAAUAACCCUCAAAGUAGAUAUCUACUUUAAUUUCUAUAAAGAUGGGACUAUCAGUGACAGCUUACAUUUCAUAAUAGAAAAUCUUUGUAUUUUAUCUACUUGAUAUUAAUAUUUAUAUAAUUUUGAUAAUGGUAUAAUCUAAUACUGGGAAGCAAAAAUAAAAGAUAGAUCCUUACACACACACACACACAAAUCUAUAUAUACACAGACACACAUUCCAGCAUAUAUUUAUACAAAUACACACAUAUAUGUCAAGAAACUAUCCCUACAGCCAGGGACCAUUUCCAUGUCCUGAAGAUUAGGAAUGUUACAGGAUAUCAAGAAGCCACAGGAAAAAUUUUCAAUGGUUAGAUGGGACCCAGAAGUCUGCUGCCAGACCCACAAGACUGGCAUCCUAGAUUCUGCCCACCCCCUCUCCCUCCUACUGUGUGAUGUGGGCUGUGAUAGUGAUGGAUGGAGGGAGAAGAUGGAGCCCAAGAAGGAACAAAGUACUGAAAGAUCCCAGUGGGAACCAGGAAUUGAAACUUUUUUCCCAACCUGUAUGAAAUUAUAUUAAAGGAUAAAAAUGGAAGUUCUGCUUUGAUCCCAUAUUUCUCAGAGUGAACAAGGUUAUGCUGCAGAAACAAAUAGUCCUCCAAAAACAGAAACUUCAAACAAGGUGUUGUCUGGCUCCCACUGCAAAUGUACCAGCUGGGAGAUCAGGCUCAGCAUCUUCCUCAUUUGGGGCUGAGGCUGAGGCUGAGGCUGAGGCUGAGGGAGGCUUCAUCUUCAGGAUUCUCUGACUGCAGAGGACAGGAAAGGGGCACACAGCACAGAUGCACUCACUCGUAAGGCUUCCACCUAAAGGGAGCACUACUCACACCCACUCCUAUUCCAGCUUCAUGCUAAGUCUCAGGGCCAUAUCCACUUUAGAAGGGGGCAGAAAACUGUAAUGCUACCCAGUGGUGCAGAGCUAAAAAUAUUUCUUGAACCACAGUAAUUACUACUUCAGUCACAAAAUAAUUUCAGGACAGGUUACGUUUUGUCACCAUCUGACCAAUUUUUUUAAAUUUCCAUUUUCAGAAAAUUUGGUAUUUGGGCAUUGGGUAUUGGGACUUUAGACUUACAAUGCUUAACAGAUAAGAAGUGGACUCCCUCAUCUAUGCUUACAAGAAAGGUUAUAUAGCGCAGUGGAAUAAAAAAGAAUUAAGGAUUUAAUAUGUGGAGAAAGAGACUGGGUGACCCCAGGAUUGCUGACAAAAGCUUCUCUGGGGUUAGGCGGGUCAGGUGAAAGGACAAAUGAAUUUUCUGGUGAUCCCCAGUGACCUGCAUUAAUCAUCAAUAACCUCCAUGUCAUUAUCAUGUCAGAUCCACUUUGCAUCACUGCAGGUUAAUCUCCUGGUGCCUCCAUGAUUUAAAUGUAUUUGCAUUGAUAUUCACCAUAUGCAACACACCAUGGGGGAGAAGGGUUGCUAUGGCAGAAAAAGGAUGAAAGUUUUUAGCAGAUACAAACUGGUGACUCUCCAGGAGAGAAACAAGUGAAGAGGCUUCUCCAGGCCACACUAUCCAAAAACUACACUCACCAAUAAUUUUUUCUAAUAUUUUAAUUUUUAGAAACCUAUUUAUCCUCUCAAAACUAUAUAAUGGUGGCCAAGAAUGUUUAAGCACUCUCUAAGUGCCAGGCACACUAAGUAAUUUACAUAGAUUAUUUCUAUGAAUCUUACAAAAUUAUGACUUUUACCUACAUUUUAUUAACAAGAUCAUAGAACCAUAGCAAUCGUAGAACUGCAAUCAAAUCUUGCUCUUACUCCAGCUUCGUGAAAUUGAGUUACUACACAAUACUGUCUCCUAUGUUAAGAAAAAAUUUUAACCAUAAUACACAUUGUAAAAUCAGCAAACAGUAGAUAUAGAAUACUUCAAAGUCCAUGUUUCCCCAUUUGUAUGUUCUAGUCUUUAUUAUUUUUAUGGAUCAUGACCAGAAGAAAAUUCAUUGCUUAGAUAACCACAGUAUCUAAUGCAAAAUCUGCAUUUUUCUGUAGUUGUCCUAUUUAUUCUAUGUUCCACAGGACCAGUCUUCUAUUGAAGUAUUUAACUUUCUAGACGUUAAAAUAAAAUCUGGGGAAAAUGGUUAGUCAACUGGAUUUCUCUUAUUUGGUGAUUACUAAGUGCUGAGACACUUGGGUGUGUAAUGCUAUUUUGUUUGUUUGUUUGUUUUAGGGCUUCAGCCACAGCACAUGGAAAUUCCCAGGCUAGGGGUUGAAUCAGAGCUACAGCUGCCAGCCUACACCAUGGCUACUUCAACUUAGGAUCAGAGCCAAGUCUGCGACCUACACCAGAGCUCAUGGCAACACCAGAUCCAUAACCCACUGAGUGAGGCCAGGGAUUGAACCCUUGUCCUCAUGGAUGCUAGUUGGGUUUGUUACAACUGAGCCAUGAUGGGAACUCUGCUACUGAUUUUUGAUAAACACCGCAGAGUCUCUGCACAUAAACAUUGGUUGGUAAGCUUUCUGGUGCAUCUUCAGGGUUAUCGUCUCACAUAUCACCCUCAGAGCAGACACUGGAGCCAGGGUUAGAGGAUAACAACUCCUUGUCACUACCCUGUAAUGCCUUAGUUUGCUAUUCUAUCAUUGUCCACCUCUUAGGACAGGCCGCUGGGCCACAUCUGAUGAAACUGAAUGUCUAAGAGCAUACUUCCUCCACUGUUCUGGGCUGUCUUAAAAGGGUCACAAGACUUAAAGAAGUCAGUUGGACCUCGUAUAGCUUAUGAACACUAUAGCAUCUAGUUAAGGAAUUAUAGUUCAUCUCUUGCAAAACUGAUUGUGGAGAAAUCACAAUUUUAUUGAAGUAUCUCGGUGACAGAAAAUUCUCUCAGUGGAAUGAACUUGCAUCUAGGUUUUUCCAUACUGCAUGGAGAAUCAUCUUCGAUGUAAAUUUUGAUUUGCUUUGACUUGACUAUCUUAACCUGGUGGUAGAAGUCUCUGUGGGGUUUGUAAGUGAGCAUUGCUUACUGUCAUUUGAAGUACAAUCCUGCUAGCCAAGGAAGCAAACAAAUGGAAAUUCAACCUGACUUCCCGGAUGGAAUGAACUUGUUCAUCUAUAAAUAUGACAAGUAUUCCCCCCCCACCGCUUUUUUUUUUCUGGCCGCACCUUGGCACAUGGAAGUUCCGGGGCCAGAGACUGAACUCGAGCCACAGCUGCAACCCACACCACUGCUGCAGCAAUGCCAGAUUCUCAACCCACUGCACUGGGCCAGGGAUUGAACCUGUGCCUCAGCAGCGACCCAAACUGCUACAGAGACAACGCCAGAUCCUUAACCUGCUAUGCCAAAGCGGGAACCAACAAGACAAGUAUUUUCGACAAAAAAGUCCAGAAAAAAUUUUAAAUAACUCAACAGGAAUACGUUAGUCUGAUUUAUGAGACUACACGUGGUCUUCUGACCCAAAUCUCACAAAUGUCAACUAAUUUUUUUAAAAAAACUGAUAUAUUAUAGACUUUCCGUGUGUCUCACAAUGAAAAAAACUGAUAUGUUAUACAUAUAUCAAAUCACCACAAUAUAUACUUUAAGUAUCUUACAAUUUUAUGUAUCAAAUAUACCCCAAUAAAGCUUAAAUUAAAAUAUGAAAUCAAUUAAAAAUACUUUGUUAAAUCCACUGACACAUAUCAAUCAGUCAGUUUGCAGAACAGACAAAUUCAAGAACUGAAGAUAAUUCUCUGUUGUCCUACUUCAUCAAUUUCUACUUGCAUUGUGAAUCCAUGUAAAUUUUAUCUUCAUGAUGGUUUGGGGUUUUUUUGUUUGUUUGUUUCUGGAGGGGGAGUUGUUUUAUUUUGCUUUGUUGUACUUUUAUAUCUAGUGUACAAAAACCAAAAAGAAUAUAAAUAACUACAAUAAGCUUUACGUUCCAUCACUAUUGCUAAGUUAAAAAUGUACUUUGUUUUAAUGAUGUGUAUUUCUUAUACCAAAAACAUAUAACAUGUUAAGCUCUACUUACUCCUUUGCAUUGAGUAAUAUGAUUUCAUUAAUGAAUAACUUUUGGACAUCUAGUCAUUAACUCCGACACCAUCAGUCUCCCAACAUAAUCAAAACACCAGGAACAAAGUGCACAAAAUGGGAUGGGGUGAAGGGUGGAAAAUAGAUGACCUGGGAAAAAAAAAAGAAAGAAAGAAAGAAAAGAAAAAAAGGAGUUCCUGUCAUGGCACAGUGGAAACAAUCUGACUAAGAACCAAGAGGUUGUGGAUUCAAUCCCCGGCCUUGCUCAGUGGGUUAAGGAUCCGGCAUUGCCAUGAGCUGAGGUGCAGGUUGCAGACGAGGCUUGCAUCCUACAUUGCUGUGGCUGUGGUGUAGGCUGGCAGCUGCAGCUCCAAUUCGACCCCUGGCCUGGGAAGCUCCAU